UACCUACUUGUACUCAUCACCUCCUCCUCCCAAGAAGCCCUAUUAUUAUCACUCUCCUCCACCACCUUCACCUCCUCCACCUAAGCCAUACUACUAUCAUUCACCACCACCACCUUCACCUCCUCCACCCAAGCCAUACUACUAUCACUCACCACCACCACCUUCACCUCCUCCACCUAAACCAUACUACUAUCACUCACCACCACCACCUUCACCUCCUCCACCUAAACCAUACUACUAUCACUCACCACCACCACCUUCACCUCCUCCACCUAAACCAUACUACUAUCACUCACCACCACCACCUUCACCUCCUCCACCUAAGUCAUAUUACUAUCACUCACCACCACCACCACCCAAAAAGAAGCCAUACUACUACCAUUCUCCCCCACCACCUUCACCACCUCCUCCUAAGCCAUACUACUAUCACUCUCCCCCACCGCCUUCACCUCCUCCACCUACGCCAUACUACUAUCAUUCUCCCCCACCACCCUCACCACCUCCACCUAAGCCAUACUACUACCAUUCACCACCACCCCCACCGAAGAAGAAGCCUUACUACUACCACUCUCCACCACCACCUUCAC
Molecule: long non-coding RNA, 587 nt
Filed under: Phaseolus vulgaris (common bean)
Lineage: Eukaryota; Viridiplantae; Streptophyta; Magnoliopsida; Fabales; Fabaceae
Description: long non-coding RNA (PVUL_LNC002044)
Source: RNAcentral